AGAAAAUGAUAUAAUAGUUAUUUCUUCUAUUUUCUUUUUAGGGAGAAAUUGCAUUUCUCUCCGAUUCUAAUAAUCUAUCUAAAUAAUAUUCUUUUCUUUUCUUUUCUCUUUAUUUCUCUUGUUUAAUUUUUCUCCAAUUCCCUUGCAUAAUUGAGGAUCCAAACAUAGGGUUAAAGACUAACAUCCUUCAAGUGAAAUUGUCUAUUUCCUUUCUUCCCUCUUGAAAAUUCCUCUCUUUUCUGUUUGAUUGCACAUAGUUAAAUAUUUUCCAUCAAAGGAGGAUUGUGGAACAGAAACAAUCUUAAGUUAUUUCCAUAAGUUCACAAAUCGCUGUACUAUCCAUAGCUUCUUGUUUUGCUCUAUUUUGAUAGGUUUUUGUGAUUCAAAUGCACCAUCUUUAUUUUUUUUUUCUGUCGGCCUCCAGCAGUAAUUCUCUAUUUUAUACCUUAUACAAAUGAAUCUAAUAAUCCCAUUCCCUCUCAUGCUUGGUUGGAUACAGAAUUUUUUGGCACUAUGUGCUAGUGGUUAUUAUGAUGGAACCAUAUUUCACCGAAAUAUUAAAGGUUUUAUGAUUCAAGGUGGAGAUCCAACCAGUACAGGCAAAGGGGGGACCAGUAUAUGGGGCAAGAAGUUCAAUGACGAGAUCAGAGAGUCUCUUAAGCAUAAUGCAAGGGGUACACUGUCAAUGGCCAACAGUGGACCUAACACUAAUGGAAGCCAGUUUUUUAUAACCUAUGCAAAGCAACCCCAUCUCAACGGGUUAUACACUGUAUUUGGCAGAGUAAUUCAUGGCUUUGAAGUGCUUGAUCUCAUGGAGAAGACUCAAACAGGACCAGGUGAUCGACCUCUUGCAGAGAUAAGGAUCAAUAGAGUGACGAUACAUGCUAAUCCACUUGCUGGCUAGUUGCAUCUCAGAAUGUCUGUUUGGGUAGCAUUGUGAUGACUUGUUGGCAUGUUUUUAACAUUAAUUUUGGGAUUGGAUUGAAUACAUAGAGAAAGUGAGACUGCUGAUGCUACCUGUAGUUUAAUGUAAAGCAACAUUUUGGUAAAUCUAGAAAUGUAACUUUUGAAGUUUUUUAUUUUUUUUUUAAAUUAUGUAUUAUUUGAAGUUGGUUUUCUUGUUUUAUGACACAUUAUUUGAAGUUAUUAAACGUUUAUGGUAUGAUAUAAGAGCUCAAUUGUACAUG
RNAcentral lists this unclassified non-coding RNA (1187 nucleotides) under Hevea brasiliensis (rubber tree). Lineage: Eukaryota; Viridiplantae; Streptophyta; Magnoliopsida; Malpighiales; Euphorbiaceae. The record is from RNAcentral.